AAUGAACGCUGGCGGCGUGCCUAACACAUGCAAGUCGGAUGUGCCCGCAAGGGUGCAUGGCAGACGGGUGAGUAACGCGUGGGCAACCUGCCUCAAGGUUUGGGAUAACAGCCCGAAAGGGCUGCUAAUACCGGAUAUGCCUAUGGCCUCGCAUGGGGCUAUGAGCAAAGGGGAACCCGCCUUGAGAUGGGCCCGCGUCCCAUCAGCUAGUUGGUGAGGUAACAGCUCACCAAGGCGACGACGGGUAGCCGGCCUGAGAGGGUGACCGGCCACACUGGGACUGAGACACGGCCCAGACUCCUACGGGGGCAGCAGUGGGGGAUCUUGCACAAUGGGCGAAAGCCUGAUGCAGCGACGCCGCGUGAGCGAAGAAUCCUUUCGGGGUGUAAAGUUCUUUUCUAUGUGAGCAGUUCCUUUUAUAUGAAGAGUAUAGAAGGGGGAUUUAAGGCAUAGGAAUAAGCAACGGCUAACUCCGUGCCAGCAGCCGAC
RNAcentral lists this ribosomal RNA (489 nucleotides) under uncultured bacterium. RNAcentral's name for it is "bacterial SSU rRNA". It matches the Rfam family "Bacterial small subunit ribosomal RNA", at positions 29 to 518 of the family's 1533-position model. The record is from RNAcentral.